RNAcentral lists this ribosomal RNA (450 nucleotides) under uncultured prokaryote. RNAcentral describes it as "bacterial SSU rRNA". It matches the Rfam family "Bacterial small subunit ribosomal RNA", at positions 355 to 796 of the family's 1533-position model. The record is from RNAcentral.
UGGGGAAUAUUGCGCAAUGGCCGCAAGGCUGACGCAGCGACGCCGCGUGUGGGAGGAAGCCUUUCGGGGUGUAAACCACUGUCAGGGGGGAAGAACAUGCACAGGUCGAACAGGCCUGGGUGUUGACGGUACCCCCAAAGGAAGCGCCGGCUAACUCCGUGCCAGCAGCCGCGGUAAGACGGAGGGCGCGAGCGUUGUUCGGAAUUACUGGGCGUAAAGCGCGGGCAGGCGGUCCGUUAAGUCCCCUGUGAAAUCCCGGGGCUCAACUCCGGAGUUGCAGGGGAUACUGGCGGACUGGAGACCGGUAGAGGCAAGCGGAAUUCCUGGUGUAGCGGUGGAAUGCGUAGAUAUCAGGAAGAACACCUGUGGCGAAGGCGGCUUGCUGGGCCGGUUCUGACGCUGAACCGCGAAAGCGUGGGGAGCAAACAGGAUUAGAUACCCCCGUAGUCC